CAACAGCGAACACGACUGAGAAAAGAAAAAAAGAAAAGAAAAAGAAAGGGACAAAGCGCUCUGGACUGAGUGCCUUCAACCAUAAGGAGGUUAUCUGUUUAACACAGGAAGACCAGGGACCAUGCAUGUGUUUCCUCGUGGCUGGAAGGACUUGGUGGAGGCAUAGAGAGAUGACAUUGUGGGCCUCAGCUGGU
RNAcentral lists this long non-coding RNA (194 nucleotides) under Ictidomys tridecemlineatus (thirteen-lined ground squirrel). RNAcentral's name for it is "lncRNA (ENSSTOG00000032222.1)". The record is from RNAcentral. Lineage: Eukaryota; Metazoa; Chordata; Mammalia; Rodentia; Sciuridae.